UCAGCUUUGGUUGGCUCCGCCUAUUUCCUGCACAGCUUCUCACUGAGCUCCAAGCCUCGGUCCGGUCUCUUAUGUUGAUUGGUCUCAUUUGGCCCCAUGACUCUGACAGGCUGCGGCACGUGGUGUGUGUUUUGCAGCCAGCCAGUGAUGAGCGCACAUGGCGGGAAGGUGCUAAUUCAGAUUGUGGAAAGAAAUCAGUGCAAGCACAGGAACAGUAUACAAACACUGCAGAACAACCAUGUUGGGACUUGAAUGUGGACAUGUUGGAGGACCUCUGUGCAGUGGGGCAUUAAAUGCUAUCUAUUACACCAACCAUGCUACCCAUUGCGUACGCUAUAAACAAAACGAUGACCCAAAUAUAAUCUGUUUAACCUAA
Pseudophryne corroboree (corroboree frog) is the source of this 376-nucleotide long non-coding RNA. RefSeq lists it as uncharacterized. Lineage: Eukaryota; Metazoa; Chordata; Amphibia; Anura; Myobatrachidae. The record is from RefSeq and is a predicted model, not a curated record. The transcript has 2 exons.